Molecule: ribosomal RNA, 253 nt
Filed under: uncultured bacterium
Lineage: Bacteria
Description: partial 16S ribosomal RNA
Rfam family: Bacterial small subunit ribosomal RNA
Source: RNAcentral
UACGUAGGGUGCGAGCGUUGUCCGGAAUUAUUGGGCGUAAAGAGCUUGUAGGCGGUUUGUCGCGUCUGCUGUGAAAAUCCGGGACUCAACCCCGGACCUGCAGUGGGUACGGGCAGACUAGAGUGUGGUAGGGGAGACUGGAAUUCCUGGUGUAGCGGUGAAAUGCGCAGAUAUCAGGAGGAACACCGAUGGCGAAGGCAGGUCUUUGGGCCACUACUGACGCUGAGAAGCGAAAGCAUGGGGAGCGAACAGG